RNAcentral lists this ribosomal RNA (502 nucleotides) under Selenopidae gen. sp. Ethiopia. Its description in RNAcentral is "partial 16S ribosomal RNA". It matches the Rfam family "Bacterial large subunit ribosomal RNA", at positions 1799 to 2637 of the family's 2925-position model. Lineage: Eukaryota; Metazoa; Arthropoda; Arachnida; Araneae; Selenopidae. The record is from RNAcentral.
ACUGUUUAUCAAAAACAUUUCUAUUAAAAUAAUUAAUAGUAAAAUCUGCUCAAUGAAAUUAAAUAAAUAAAUAGCCGCAAAAUUUUGUGCUAAGGUAGCAUAAUCAUUCGUCUUUUAAUUGAAGACCAGAACAAAAGAUUUAACGUUUUAAUUAAUAUCUCUACCUUAAACUUUCAAAUUUAUCUUAAAUGUAAAAAGACAUUUAUAAAAAAGAAAGACGACAAGACCCUAUCGAACUUUACUUCAGUUAAACUGGGGCAGUUAAUUAAUUAAAAUCUUAAUAUAAAUAAUACAAUAAAUGAUCCAAUCACAUUGCUAAAUUAUCAAUGUUACCAUAGGGAUAACAGCAUAAUAAUUCUCAAAAGACCUUAUAAAAACAAUAGAUUAUGACCUCGAUGUUGAAUUAAUUACCUAGUUGACGCAAGAGUUAAAAAAGGAAGUCUGUUCGACUUUUCAAAAAUUACAUGAUUUGAGUUCAGACCGGCAUAAGCCAGGUCGGUUU